AAAAUUUUGAAGCAGAUCACGUAAGCUUUGUCUAGACAACGCAUUAAUUGCUAUUUUCCAUGUAUUAUUUAAUUUUUUAACAUUUUAUCCAGUGCUGUCAGAUUGAAGUGUUUCAUGCGUUGCUACAGAUGAUUUAGGGUCAGGUAUCCUGGCAGUAGUAGAUGCCAGAGAUGAGUUACUUGUUCAUCAGCAUCGCCAGUGAGUCUGGUAUUUUGCAAAUCAGUGAGAUAAGAAAAUAAGGUCCCUUCUUCUUAUCAUGAUAAUUCUCCCACCUUUUUGAUAACGGCCUGCUGGACAGGGUGAUUGGUCACAGCCAUAAAGCGAGCUGUGGGGCUCUGUUUUUGACAAUGUCUAACUGAUCCAAACAAACCCUAAUAUAUCUGGAGGGAGAAAAUUUUCAAAUAAAUUUCUUUCAAGUUUCAAAUUCAUUCUAACCAAAAAAUGAAAAUGUGGUGGAGCCAAUGAUCUCAGAAGGAAAUAGACAUGUUACCCCACCAAAGAUUUUAAAAUUCAUCUCAAUCAUUUCCAAGAAAAUUAAGUAAUGCAUAAUUCAAUUUCAAAUCUCAUUACCUCAUAUCUAAGCUCAAUAUCAGAUACAAUAAAAAAAAUUACAGCCCUCCAAAGUACUCAAUGCUCUCAUGCCUCCACUCAAUAGGGAAAAAAAAUCUUCAAUAAUAAUAAUAACUAGGCAACUAGCGAAUUUAGUACUGGGAAGGAAAGGCUUACUGGGAAGGAAAGGCUAAAUAACUGGUUCUUGAAUUUUUCUACUUUGCAGUGCCGUUGGGCAGCUUUGCAGGUUUUCCCUCAGAAGAGUUGAGUUCAUCCCAAGCUUCAAUCCAAGUGACCAUGGCAUCUGCUAGUUUAAUGAAGUAGGGAUCUAGCUUUCCAAGCUUCUCCUUCACCUGCUUGGCAAGUUCAAUAUAGCAUUUCUGAACAGUAGUGCAUUCCUUUGGAAGGACAGCAGAUUGGAAGAAUGGGAUCAGUUCUUCCUGCCAAAAUAUCCCAUUGUACUCCUUUUUAAGGUUAACAAAAGGGUUGCUUGCUUUGCUGUGCCAUAUAUAAGGCAGCCCUGUCUUAACACCCCACCCCAUGUGGUCACAUAUCACCUACAUAGUUCAUCAAUCCAGCAAACUUGAGUUUCCGUUUAUUCUUAUGAACUAACCAGUAAUGCAAUUUGAACAAAUUGAGAAGCAUCAAUAAUUUGAUACUGAAAGUAUUCAGAGUAAAUCUUUAGAUCAUCAUUUCGAAAAACAAGAAAUUUUUGUUUUAAUGCAAUAAUGAUGCUUUGCGUUCCUGACACAUUAUACCCAGGAUUCCAACAGCAAUAGAGAGAGCUUGUCCCCUGAAGAAUUAUUUAAUGCUAAUAACUAGAAUGGAAUAUCUCCCUUUCCUUGAAAUGCCUAGAUGUUCAAAAAGAGAGUGUAGGAUGCAAUGCAACUUUACGUUCAAUAUAUGAACUCAGAAAACAGUCCAAUUUUAAUAGUUUACAGUCUAUCCCAAGAUCUAAAAAAAUCAUAACAUUAUAGAAAACAUACCUUCAUGCACCAACCAGCCCACAUGUCGUCAUAGCGGCCAACUGGCUGACCAUCACCCAUCAGCCCAAAAUACAUUGCAGGUCCAAUCAAUUCACGGUUAAAUGCCAGGUUCAUGCCACACAUUGGGAACA
Molecule: unclassified non-coding RNA, 1666 nt
Filed under: Hevea brasiliensis (rubber tree)
Lineage: Eukaryota; Viridiplantae; Streptophyta; Magnoliopsida; Malpighiales; Euphorbiaceae
Source: RNAcentral